This 415-nucleotide ribosomal RNA is filed under the name uncultured bacterium. RNAcentral describes it as "partial 16S ribosomal RNA". It matches the Rfam family "Bacterial small subunit ribosomal RNA", at positions 355 to 761 of the family's 1533-position model. The record is from RNAcentral.
UGGGGAAUAUUGCACAAUGGGCGCAAGCCUGAUGCAGCCAUGCCGCGUGUGUGAAGAAGGCCUUCGGGUUGUAAAGCACUUUCAGCGAGGAGGAAGGCAGUCGUGUUAAUAGCACGAUUGAUUGACGUUACUCGCAGAAGAAGCACCGGCUAACUCCGUGCCAGCAGCCGCGGUAAUACGGAGGGUGCAAGCGUUAAUCGGAAUUACUGGGCGUAAAGCGCACGCAGGCGGUUUGUUAAGUCAGAUGUGAAAUCCCCGCGCUUAACGUGGGAACUGCAUUUGAAACUGGCAAGCUAGAGUCUUGUAGAGGGGGGUAGAAUUCCAGGUGUAGCGGUGAAAUGCGUAGAGAUCUGGAGGAAUACCGGUGGCGAAGGCGGCCCCCCUGGACAAAGACUGACGCUCAGGUGCGAAAGCG